RNAcentral lists this long non-coding RNA (282 nucleotides) under Lathyrus oleraceus (garden pea). RNAcentral describes it as "Pisum sativum (pea) long non-coding RNA (PSAT_LNC002350)". Lineage: Eukaryota; Viridiplantae; Streptophyta; Magnoliopsida; Fabales; Fabaceae. The record is from RNAcentral.
UAUUGUUGUUGUUGUUGUAGUUCUUUUUAUUUUUUAUUUGUUCUUGUUCUUGUUCUUGUUCUGGUUGUUCUUGUUCUUGUUCUAGUUGUUCUUGUUGUUCUUAUUAUUCUCUUUAUUACUCUUGUUUUUCUCGUUGUUGUUCUUAUUGUUGUUGUUAUUGGUGUUCUUGUUGUUGUUAUCAUUGUUAUCGUUGUUCUUGUUAUUAUUGUUGUUGUUGUUAUUGUUUUUCUUGUUGUUGUUAUUUUUAUUUUUUUUCUUGUUGUUCUUUUUCUUGUUGUUCUU